This 260-nucleotide long non-coding RNA is filed under the name Aquilegia coerulea. RNAcentral describes it as "long non-coding RNA (ACOE_LNC000611)". Lineage: Eukaryota; Viridiplantae; Streptophyta; Magnoliopsida; Ranunculales; Ranunculaceae. The record is from RNAcentral.
AUAAAUCUGGAAUCCAUGACACACAAAACUAAAAAAAACAUGAGAGAGAUCUAGGCAUAUAAAUGAAGAAGAAAGAAUACCAACACAGACACAAGACACUGAAUACUUAUAUAGGUAACAGAGGGAAGAAAAGAAAACAUAACAUGAAUCCCUGAUAGAAACCAAGAGAAUCCUAUACAUAGAAGAAAGAGUCAGGACACCAACAAUUGGAACAAAUGAUUCACUAGAAUAUCACUUUAAACAACCGACCAUAACCACCU